Molecule: long non-coding RNA, 835 nt
Filed under: Homo sapiens (human)
Lineage: Eukaryota; Metazoa; Chordata; Mammalia; Primates; Hominidae
Description: HSALNT0355869
Source: RNAcentral
AGGGAAUUGUGUCACUCCCAUUGAGCAGCUGUGGGGCCCUCUCCCACAUGGCCCAGGUCCACCACUCUGUCAAAGGUCGCACAGCCCAGACAAAAACAGGACACAGCAGUGUGUGAAUGAGCCGGGCUUUCUCCUUCCCUCCACGUAAUAGAAGGUGCCUGAGGUUGUUGAAACACAGUCCAUUUCUCCUGGGAAUGACAAGAAUUUGAGGGAUGCUGACUUUCAAGGAAUACUGCAUGACAGGCAUCAAGAUAAACCUGAUGAAGAAAACAUAGGCCAGAAUCUGGGAAUCGGGAGCAAAGUAAUACAGCUUCGGGGACAGGCACGUAAUGAGGUCAUGAUGUAGGAGACUCCCUGCAGGACUGGCGGCCCCUGUUCCCUGGGUUGUUCUGGCUCUUUCAGGUGAGAGAGAAGGAUACAGACAGGAAAUGGCACUUCCUAGAAGGGCAACCCUCUGUUCCUGGGGUGUGUGGCAUCUUCCAGCGUUGGGUCUGAGGUUCUAGUGCAGGGACGCAAACACAGGAAGAGCCCCCAUGGCCCUCGCUGGGAAAGACGGGCUCACUCGUUGCACGUGAGCACUGCAGACCAACAGCAUCACAGAAAGGAGGCUCUCCUGCCGUACUUGUGACUCAUGUCUUAAAGAUACCCCAAGAGAAUUGAACAAAGCUCUAUCGUGAGAUCCUUCUGAGGAGAGAAUAAAAAGGAAAUAUGUAUUUUACUUUUGUACAUGGAAUUUCCUUUUAAUUAAAAUCCUUGGUGAUUUUAAAAUAUCAGGUUCCUAGGAGGGUGGCUGUGCGUGACUCGGCUCACGCUGCUGCCGUGGGCUCCUGGGCGC